Salvia splendens (bonfire salvia) is the source of this 910-nucleotide long non-coding RNA. RefSeq lists it as uncharacterized. The record is from RefSeq and is a predicted model, not a curated record. Lineage: Eukaryota; Viridiplantae; Streptophyta; Magnoliopsida; Lamiales; Lamiaceae. The transcript is spliced from 2 exons.
GAAAUAUCAUGAUAUGCAAAAUUAGACUUUGCUAAAUAAAUAAUUUAACAAUGCAUGCAUCCUAAGUGUGUGCUCAAUUUAUCCAUUUCUCUUUUCUUAGCAAAACCUCAUAUCUCAAACUUGUUCCAAUGUUACUCUAAAAAUUAAGAAAUCAGUCUCGUCAACUCAAAUGGCCAUUCCUAUUAAAUCAAACUAAAGUAUGAAAAAGAGCAUGUAUCUUAAAAUACUCCCAAACCCCACACGUCAAUACUCCAUGCCCACAUCUAUCUGUUUCCCAACUACUCAAAACAAAGAAAAUAAAAAGUAGUACGUAUACCCAGCAACUACGCCUAUUAAAUAAACAAUUUAAUAAUAAAAAAAAUACUCCUAAUCAGAAACAACAAAUAAAAGAAUUUAGCAAAAACUUUCAACAUCACACGUAUAUACUAUAUAUAUACUACUAGUAUACUCCUCAACCCCAUUUACCAUAUCAUGCCAAUCCACACAAACAAUUUAACCUGCAAAAUAUAAUAAAACUAAAGAAAUAAACUCAAUAUUAAACUAAAGAGAUGGAAAGGGGUGAGUAUCCUAAACAAUUAAUAAAACUAAAGGAAUGGAAAGGAUAAGUGUGUCAGUACGUAUACUCCCCUUCUCGCCAACACCCAGGCAUCUCUUCCAUCUGAAAAUCAAACCUCUCUGUUCAUCGUCUCUCUCUCUCUUUUUUUUCCAUCGUUCUCAAAAUUUUCCUCUCUCUGAAAUCAAUCUAAAAUUUAAAGUUCAGAAACUACAAGUUCAUCUCCCUCCUUAUUUCGACCAUAACUAUUCUCCCUGCCUCUCUCGGCCUCUCCUCUUGGAUUCAAAAAGGGAACAGACGGCAAUUCUCAUCCCUCUCUGUGACAAGGAAAUUUUGUGAAUUGGAAUUGCAGAGAAA